Molecule: ribosomal RNA, 449 nt
Filed under: uncultured bacterium
Lineage: Bacteria
Description: partial 16S ribosomal RNA
Rfam family: Bacterial small subunit ribosomal RNA
Source: RNAcentral
AAUGAACGCUAGCGGUAGGCCUAACACAUGCAAGUUGAACGCAUACUUUUACAGUAUAAGUAGCAAACGGGUGAGUAACGCGUGAGAAAUCUACCUUACAAUCUGGGAUAAAAUCCCGGAUUCUUUCUAAACUAGAUGUUCCGACAAAUAGUAUAGAAUAAAAGAUUAAAUGUCGUUGUAAGAUGUGCUCGCGUAGGAUUAGGUAGUUGGUGAGGUAAAAGCUACACCAAGCCGAAGAUCCUUAGCUGGUCUGAGAGGAUGAUCAGCCACACUGGGACUGAGACACGGCCCAGACGCUUUCGAGCGGCAGCAGUGAGGAAUUUUGGACAAUGGGCGAAAGCCUGAUCCAGCCAUAUCGCAUGAGUGAAGAAGGCUCAAUUGGUUGUAAAGCUCUGAUUUGAUUGAAGAUUAUGACAUAAGAUCAAAGAAUGGUCCCGGCUAACUUCGUG